This 245-nucleotide ribosomal RNA is filed under the name uncultured Eubacteriales bacterium. RNAcentral describes it as "uncultured Clostridiales bacterium partial 16S ribosomal RNA". It matches the Rfam family "Bacterial small subunit ribosomal RNA", at positions 524 to 768 of the family's 1533-position model. The record is from RNAcentral. Lineage: Bacteria; Bacillati; Bacillota; Clostridia; Eubacteriales.
UACGUAGGGGGCGAGCGUUGUCCGGAAUGAUUGGGCGUAAAGGGCGCGUAGGCGGUUUUGUAAGUCUGAAGUGAAAGUCCUGCUUUUAAGGUGGGAAUUGCUUUGGAUACUGCAGGACUUGAGUGCAGGAGAGGUAAGUGGAAUUCCCAGUGUAGCGGUGAAAUGCGUAGAGAUUGGGAGGAACACCAGUGGCGAAGGCGACUUACUGGACUGUAACUGACGCUGAGGCGCGAAAGUGUGGGGAG